This 30-nucleotide non-coding RNA is filed under the name Mus musculus (house mouse). The record is from RNAcentral. Lineage: Eukaryota; Metazoa; Chordata; Mammalia; Rodentia; Muridae.
UGCAUUUGGCAUUUCUUGGGGGUCACACUU